UUUGCUUCUUUUGAAGCCACUGCGGCACUCAAAACAACAGUAUCUCCAUAACGGACUAAUACCGCUCCGUUUGCUUGUUUUGCUAAUUGACCGACUUCGAUCUCUAAAGGACGUCCGCCCCAUGUUGUUUUAAAUACUUGUUUUUCUGACAUAAUUACUCCUUUUCCUUUUCGUGAAAGCCAGA
This 184-nucleotide non-coding RNA is filed under the name Candidatus Enterococcus wittei. Its description in RNAcentral is "Enterococcus sp. 10A9_DIV0425 Listeria sRNA rliD". It matches the Rfam family "Listeria sRNA rliD", at positions 27 to 210 of the family's 327-position model. The record is from Rfam by way of RNAcentral. Lineage: Bacteria; Bacillati; Bacillota; Bacilli; Lactobacillales; Enterococcaceae.